GGAGGGUCAUUGGAAACUGGGAAACUUGAGUGCCCAUAAGGAGAGUGGAAUUCCACGUGUAGCGGUGAAAUGCGUAAAGAUGUGGAGGAACACCAGUGGCGAAGGCUACUCUCUGGUCUGUAACUGACGCUGAGGAGCGAAAGCGUGGGGAGCGAACAAGAUUAGAUACCCUGGUAGUCCACGGCGUAAACGAUGAGUGCUAAGUGUUAGAGGGGUUUCCGCCCCUUAGUGCUGCAGCUAACGCAUUAAGCACUCCGCCGGGGGAGUACGGUCGCAAGACUGAAACUCUAAGGAGUUGACGGGGGCCCGCACAAGCGGUGGAGCUUGUGUUUUAUUUCGAAGCAACGCGAAAAACCUUACCGG
Molecule: ribosomal RNA, 363 nt
Filed under: Bacillus pumilus
Lineage: Bacteria; Bacillati; Bacillota; Bacilli; Caryophanales; Bacillaceae
Description: bacterial SSU rRNA
Rfam family: Bacterial small subunit ribosomal RNA
Source: RNAcentral